This 8004-nucleotide long non-coding RNA is filed under the name Brassica napus (rape). RNAcentral describes it as "long non-coding RNA (BNAP_LNC009733)". The record is from RNAcentral. Lineage: Eukaryota; Viridiplantae; Streptophyta; Magnoliopsida; Brassicales; Brassicaceae.
ACGUCAAUGUUAACUGUAUCUGUUUAGGAGGACUCUUUGACUUCAACUUAAAAACUUCUGUUGCUUUGUACUUCGCUGUCUCUCUUGGUAAGGACAGAUGUGUUACUAUCCAAUAAGAAGCCUCCACGUGUAUGUUUACCUAAAAAAGACCUAAGUGGCUAAAGGAACAAUUAUGAGAAGUGAUAAAAAGCACAUUGGCGCCGCAAAAUACGAAGGAAAUCUUCGAUGGAAAAUCUUUCUCCUCUACGAGACGACGAUGAGGAAAACGAAGUAGACGAAGCCAAAAUGCUCCUCAUCGGUGAGAACGGAACCAACGGUGAUAGCUUCUCUCCUCGGUCCGACGGUGCACCGGAGCUCCAGCAUUACACUAUCCGCUCCAUCAAGUCAACGGUCGUGAUUCGUCAACUGACGUCACAGGGUCUCUCCUUCCAGCUCUGGCCAGCCGCUUCUACUUUCGUCGCGCUUCUCGAUAACUACCGCCUCGACCCUGCCAACAGCCCCCUCGCCGCAACACUCUCCUCGCUGAAACCCGCCGGCUCUACUACUACACCGAUGAACAUUCUCGAGCUCGGAUCCGGAACCGGCGUCGUCGGAAUCGCCGCGGCGAUCACUCUUUCUUCUCAGUGUGUAGCGGAUCUCUUAUACCGCUAGCAACAACACUAAUACCAUCUAAAGAGUAUAGCUGCGGAGGAACGUUCUUCAGAACUACCCAAGUUGGUGCAAAGAGCAACUCCUGAGCCGCCAGAUUCCCAUCCGCUGUCCAAGGAUAAACCGAGAAGGCACACCUAUCUGCCUGCCAGUAACCCACUUGCAGCACCCAUUCUCUAGUCUGCACCUAGGGGAUGUAAAUCAAGACACAGGUUUCCGAGACCGUUCUGACCGUAAUACUACCGAACUUUCCCCACACUGGGUUCAAAUCAGUAAUAAUCUUUGAAGCAGAAGGACGACGACCGUGAAAGUGAGCCACCACGUGGUCUUUCCAAAGUUCCAAAGUUUUGAGAAGCACAGACUCCGGCGCUUGAACUACCGGCGUCCCGUCCUCUAAGAGCGACGGAUCUGAGAUCUUACGGAGAUUCCUCAAGGACGAUUUGAACCGCGCCGCGUACGAUGGAACGUGCGUAGCUGGAAUCGUCGCUGGGAUCGAAGGAGACUGGAGCUUCAUCUCCAAAUCGCGAUUGCGGAGCUGAGUGUCGCGAUUUGAGAUUCUCGCAGAAGAGGCCCCUCCUGGGUCAAUAGGAGGGCUCAACGAAGGAGCGGAGACCGGAAUCGUCAUGAGAGACAAACGGCGGGGAAUGACUUCUCGCUAGCCGGCGAAAGGCCAACUAACGGCGGAGAGAACCGAAAACCCUAAACGCCCAAAUCGCCCUUUAUUUCGCUCUUAGGAGAGAGAAAAAAGCCUUCCAAAAACACCAAAUUUAAAAACACCAAAUUACAAAUUCAAAAUGAUAAUAUUCUAAAAUUUAUAAAAAGAUAAAAUCAUAGAUGCUAAAAUACAAUUCUUGAAAUCAAAUGUAAUACAAUAUUUGAAAUGUAACACAAAAGAAAUUAUGUUGUAAAAAUCAAAAGUACUAUAAUAUUACUACUAUAUUACUAUCAUCCAAAAUUUAAAACCAUAACAUCCAAAAAUAUCAGAUACUACUAUGCAUACAAUUUAUCAAAAUAAUAGAGUUAUAUUAUUUAAACAUAACAAUGUAGUUACUUAUAAAACCUCCUAAAAUACUUAAGUGGUAGAUGUUACAGUAUUAUAUAUUUAAACAUAAUAUGGAAAUAUAAAGUAUCAUAAACAAAUAUCCUUCUACUUUAUAACUAAAUAAAUUUUAAAAUGUAUCGUAUGCAAAUUGUAAAAAAUUAAAAAACUAUAUUAAAGGAGAUUAUUUAUUUGAUUAUUUCAGAUUAUAAUUUAUGUAACGAACUCAAAAAUAUAUUAAUAAGUGAUAACAAUCAAUAAAAAAUUGAAAUGCAUAAAAAGUCACUACUUGACAAAAAAAAACAAAUCACUAUAUAUCAAUAAUGAUGAUAAGAAACUUAAACAAUAAGAUUAUAUAGAUUUACAAUAUAUAACACUAAAUAUAAAUCAUAUAUAAAACUUCUAUGAUAAUAUCAAAGUUAUAUAUUUAUAAAAUGAAAAAUAUAUGCAUGUUUGUGCGGGUUAAACUCUAGUUUUUGGUUUAUUUUACACAUUUUUAAAUAGAUUUGCUAGAUUUUAAUUAAAAAAUGUGUGACAUUUUCAAACUGAGUGAUACAUAAAUGUGUUUGGAUAUUUAUGUGUCAAACAUUUAGAACUGAGCCAGUCAAGAACUAAAUAGAGCCGACCUAAAACCGAAACCGAUAUAAAAGUAACUUAAUAAGAAUCAACAUUAAUCUGGUCCAAAAACCCAAAUGUCCAAAUCUACGUAUAAGUUUAUAUUCCUAACUUGUAAGGUAAAAUUAUUAAAUUUACACUAAAGUGUUUAUAAUCCUUGUAUACUAAGACUAACUUCUUAAUGUCGUUUGAAUGUAUGAUACGAAGGUCAUCUGCCCACCAAGAAAAAGUAAGAGUUGAUAAAGUUAAAGGGUAUUUAUGUGACCCCCAAUAACAAGAAGUAACAUUUUUGAAAGAAAUGACACUUUGAUGCUUACUUUUAAAAAGUCUAGACUCUAAACAAAGUUGUCCUUUAAAUAUCACUAGCAUUUAGUUAAAAUGUAAACAAAAUGAUUUGGAAUGGGGUAUACAAUGAAAGGGAUGGUGUAGUUGAUGUGGGGGGCUCCAAAAACUUAGGAAAAUUUGCUUUAAUCUUAACUUUUGAUUUUUAAAUUAAUGAAGCAAAUCUAAGGGAUGGGAAUGUGUGCUUUAUGUUCGGUGGCUAGUAACUCAAAUCAGCAGUCUAUGUAGAAUUCGUGUUGUCAAAAAACUCUUUAAGGACAUUGUAACGUAAUUCAGGCAAAGGGUUACCAUGACGAACAUUUACAAUCCUCGACAUAUAUUCUUUGACAAUCACAAAGAUCCAUUGAUAAUCGCCGAAGGUCUUCUAUUCACCAGCGAUAAUGGUCCGUCAUAGAAUCCCUACAUAGAAAAACAUAGGAGGUUAGGUACUUAGACUAUCCGCAACCGUGAUACUGGGUAAAAAACCCUUAGAAUUUUAUUUUUAUUUUUUAUUAUUAUUUUUUUUUUCAGCUGAAAAAAAAUGACCAAUGGUAAGCCGCCACUUAACAGCAGGAUCCGCGAACAGUUACAAUGUUCCAAACGAAUUGAUCCUUAGAGAAUGAUUUGAAGAGGCCAAUCCUUAACAUCAAGUUUUUUACUAUUUUUUACCUAGGUUUUGGAGCUAAAAAAUUGGCAAGAAACUCCAUUGCGGAUGCUCUUAUAUUAUAUCUUUUUUAUUUAUGAUUAGGGUUAAAAAACUAACCCAACUUUAGAUAUAAUCAUAUAAUCCCAGCGAAUAGUGGCAAUUAAUCUGGGUCGUGGAUGUCAAUGAUCAACAACUGAUCCAACGAUCUUAAAGUUGAAGCAAAUAUGUGUUUUGUCAAGAUCUGGCAAGAAUGCAACUUAUAUUUAAGGUAUAAAUAGUGACCAUGGAACGGCGAGGAUUAGGAAUAAUACAUUCCAUAACGUUCCCAAAAAAAAACACCAUUCACAAGGAAUAAUAAUUCCAUCGCAUUCCCUAUCAUUCCUUUUUUUGUAGAGAAUUGAAGAACAAAAUUAUUCUUUGAUAAAAUUGAUAAGAAACAACCAUUCCUUUUUAUUCCUGUUAUUUUAUUCCCGAACAUUCCUUUUUUAUUCGUUCAUUUUGUUUCCCGAAUGGUCACCAGUCAGACCCUUAGCUAAGACUCAACGGUAGUUUAAGGAAAAAUAUCAUUGGAAUAAAAAAUGUCACAACAUGUAAUAAAUAAGCUAAAAUGUGACCGGAGGCAUAAUAUUCUCUAAUGAUCUUUCCAUUUUUCAUUCCUACUUGAUUUGCCAUCUCAAUUCCAUGAUUAAGGGGAGACUAUCAUCCAAAUAUGCAAUGGCUUCAGACAAAUCUUCAAGUUUCACUGUCCUAAUUUCAUCAAUAUAUCUGCAGUCUUGAACCAACUAAUCCCAAUCUAAACCUACUUUGUAAAGUCAUCCAAAAUAUUAGGACUAUAAUUACAAUUUACGAAAACUAUUUGGGGUUAAAACAAAUACGUGCUAACAAUUGGGACUGUUAUGUGAAUUUACAAAACAUACAUGUGGCUAUUUUGAAGUCGUACAACUAAUUGAACCUUACUGUAAAUUGUCAAAACUAUUGGGGACGAAAGUAAAUCACCAACUUGGAGUGGAGUGACAGACUUUUGAGUAGAGAAACGUGGACUGAAGAAGAGAAAAUGUGGCGCCGGAGCUUUAGCGCGACGCCUGGUCAAUUGACUAAGAAGAAAUGGGACGCGUUAGUGAUCGGCGGCGGCCACAACGGUUUGGUAGCUGCAGCUUACCUAGCGCGCGGCGGUCUCUCCGUCGCAGUUCUCGAGCGACGCCACGUCAUCGGCGGGGCGGCAGUGACGGAGGAGAUCGUCCCCGGCUUCAAAUUCUCGCGUUGCAGUUACGUCCAGGGGCUAAUCCGUCCAUGCAUCAUCAGGUUUUUCAAACUCUUGAAAAACUUCUUUCGAUUUCUAGCUAAUUGGCGCGUUCUCUCUGAUCAUGGAUUGUGAUGGAUUCAGUGAUUUGGAGUUAGGCAGACACGGGCUGAAGCUUCUGAAGAGGAGUCCUGCGUCGUUUACGCCUUGUUUGGAUGGGCGUUAUCUUCUUCUAGGCCCAGAUCAGGCGCUUAAUCACUCUGAGAUUUCCAAGUUCUCGAGAAGUGAUGCUGAAGCUUACCCAAGGUGAUCUUGUUUUGGGCGUAAAUAGGAUAAUUUAAUUUCACUAGAACUUUUUUUUAUUUGGAUUUGCAGAUACGAGAAGCAGCUAGAGAGGUUUGGUAGAUUCAUGGAUACUCUCUUGGAUGCAGCUCCUCCAGAGUCUCUGCAAGGUGACUCUUCUUUUAAUGACAAGCUGAGCAAUAAGUUGCACAAAUCUGCUUUCUGGGCUCGGUGUCUCCGCCAAGCAGCUUCUUUGGGGCAAAAGGAUAUGGUGUAUGGUUUCUUAUCUCUUAAUGUGUGUGUGAUACACGUGCUCUCUAUCUCUCUAUGGUUAGUAUGGAAUAAUUAGAAGUGUCAAGCUAAUAAGAAGUAAUGCAGAGAGAGUCGUUUAGUGUUAUGUGAGUGUCUAUCUCACACGUGGAUUGGCACGUGAUAGUUAUAUGAGCAAUAGGUAGUAUACAACAAGGGUGUGAGAUUAGGGAAAGGCAUCACGCAACGCAAGAGAGUGGUCACUCAGGGGGAGGAGAGAGACUCCAUUAACAUCUCUCAAAGCUUGUAACACAGUUCUAUAAAUCAGUAAUAUAAAUGUUGUUUCUUGUUGGUCUAUAUCUUUACUGAAUCGUUACGCUUUGAGAGCCUCCAUUGUUGAUCUGAAUGCCUGCUCUUUGAUGCACUUGUGUUGUUUUGUUUUGUGAAGGGACUUCAUGGAUCUUCUAUUGGCCCCAGCUUCAAAAGUUUUGAACAACUGGUUUGAGGUUGUUUUCUGACCUUACCACGUCUUGGUUCUAUUAAUUAACAACUGGUAGCUAUAUCUGAUGUUAUACGGUUUCUGGUUGGCCUUAUACUUUCAGUCUGAUGUCCUGAAGGCGACUCUUGCAACAGAUGCUGUGAUUGGAUCUACGGUAAUUGAAUUUCUUAUUUAGAUCUUGAGCUUUGAGGUUUCAAAUUUUCUUGAUAUAUUUAUUAUUAUUAAUCUAAGGAAGGGGAAAGGUGAGAGAUGCUUCUUUAUGUUCAGGAAGCUGCUCAAUAGUAAAUUGGGGAGUUAAUGUAGUUCUCUGAACAUUUUUUGACAGGCCAGUGUCCAUACUCCUGGAAGUGGAUAUGUCUUGCUACAUCAUGUGAUGGGAGAAUCAGAUGGAGAGCAUGGCAUUUGGUCGUAAGUAUUCGAAAUAUCAAAUUGUAUUUUCUUCUAAAUGAAUUUGGCAAUGUAGAAAUAGUGGUGUAUGUUUUACAAAGGUCUGAAUGCGUAAGCAAUAGAAGAACUCUUUUUUACUUGAUAAUAAUAAAACAUGCAUUCUCGCGAGGGGUGAAUGAAGGGCACAAGAUGGUCUUUUAAAGUAAGGCCUGACUCUGCGUAGUAGCUGAUAAGAAAUAUUUUGUAGUUACGUCGAAGGUGGGAUGGGCUCUGUCUCCAUGGCUAUAGCCAAUGCUGCAAAGGAAGCUGGCGCUCAAAUUUUCACAAACGCAGAGGUAUUUGUUUUCGGGAUCAUUUUGAGGACUAUCUUGUUCCUAACAUCUCUUGUUCCUAGUUUCCAAAAAAAAAACAUCUCUUGUUCCUAACGUCUCUCCUAUCAUAAAGCAGAACCGCUUAGUACACUCUCAAUUUUACUCUGCAGGUUUCUGAAGUGUUGACUGAGGAUUCUAGCAGCGUGAAAGGGGUUAGUUUGUCUUUCAAUGAUUCCCGGAUAAAGUGAAAGCUUGAAUCAAAUACAUCUGACAUUAUCUGGUAUAAGGUUUUGCUUGCUGAUGGUACACGGGUGGAAUCAUCGGUUAUAUUGUCCAAUGCAACCCCUUACAGAACUUUUGUGGUAAAUCUUUUUGUGUCAUAUCAUGUCUACUUGAAAAACUCCAGUUUAUGCAAGUUUACAUUGAGGUCGUCUGUUUCGGAUAACAGGAGCUGGUUCCGUCCAAUGUUCUUCCUGAAAAGUUCGUCAGUGCUAUAAAGAACUCAGAUUACAGCUCAGUAAGCAUUUUUUAUUUAUUUUAUUUAAGUUCCUUAAGCCAAAUAGUUUAAUUAUUGCUCCAUCUAGCUAAUUGUUUUGGUGAUUGAUUGAUUUGUUUGCUGUGAACAGGCAACUACCAAAAUAAACAUGGCUGUUGACAAGUUACCGCAGUUCCAAUGCUGUAACAACACUAAUCAUUCGGGACCAGGACCAGAGCAUUUCGGCACUAUACACAUUGGUGCAGAGACGUAUGCCUCGUGCUAAUUUUAUCUUUGACUUUUGUAUCUCUAAGAACAAAUGAAAACAUCAACGUCUCUGUUUUAUCUCUGGCUUUGUCAGCAUGGACGAGGUUCACACAGCAUGUCAUGAUGCUGAAAACGGCUUACCAUCAAGAAGACCAGUGAUCGAAAUGACUAUUCCAUCCACACUAGACAAUACCAUAUCUCCUCCAGGCACGCUUAUUCUCCUUUUUCUUGUGUGUCUAGUAAUAAGAAUGCAUUUUAGCUCUGAAUGUGGUUUUGUGUUAUAGGGAAACAUGUAAUCAACUUGUUCAUCCAAUACACUCCUUACAAGCCAUCAGAUGGAACCUGGGAAGAUCCUGUGUAUCGAGUGAGUUAAGUUUAUACACUCUUAUCUAACGUCAUUUUUAUCACUCCUCAAAUUGUACAUUCCGUAUGGGAUGUUUACCAGCUUGAUUGUGUGAAAUCAGGAAGCAUUUGCACAAAGAUGUUUCAAAUUGAUUGAUGAAUAUGCACCUGGGUUUAGCUCAUCCGUCAUUAGCUACGAUAUGCUGACUCCUCCCGAUCUCGAAAGGGAAAUUGGUCUAACAGGUAGAUUAUGCAGUAAAAGCUUCCUAUUAAAAGGGAUAUGAAAUGAUCCAAACCAUAUUGACAUCCCCACCAUGUGUUCCGUAGGAGGAAACAUCUUUCACGGUGCCAUGGGAUUAGAGUCUCUCUUCUUGAUGCGGCCGGUGAAAGGAUGGUAAAUCUUAUGCACACCCUUCUCACAAUUCAGAAACAGUCCAUACGAUUCAUGAUUUAAAAAAGGUGGGAAAAUGUGACACAGGUCGAACUACAAAAGUCCUUUGAAAGGACUCUACUUGUGCGGAAGUGGAGCUCACCCCGGAGGUGGAGUUAUGGGCGCACCGGGAAGAAACGCAGCUCUUGUUGUUCUUCAAGACUUGAAAUAAAUCUAGAGACGUCAAUGUUAACUGUAUCUGUUUAGGAGGACUCUUUGACUUCAACUUAAAAACUUCUGUUGCUUUGUACUU